RNAcentral lists this ribosomal RNA (929 nucleotides) under uncultured bacterium. RNAcentral describes it as "bacterial SSU rRNA". It matches the Rfam family "Bacterial small subunit ribosomal RNA", at positions 547 to 1482 of the family's 1533-position model. The record is from RNAcentral.
GGAAUCACUGGGCGUAAAGCGCGCGCAGGCGGCCUUUUAAGUUGGAUGUGAAAGCCUAUGGCUCAACCAUAGAACCGCAUCCAAAACUAUUUAGCUAGAGUGUGGGAGAGGAAGAUGGAAUUAGUUGUGUAGGGGUAAAACCCGUAGAGAUAACUAGGAAUACCAAAAGCGAAGGCAAUCUUCUGGAACACUACUGACGCUGAGGCGCGAAGGCGUGGGGAGCAAACAGGAUUAGAUACCCUGGUAGUCCACGCAGUAAACGAUGAAUGUUAGUCGUCGGGUAGCUAGUCUAUUCGGUGAUGCAGCUAACGCAUUAAACAUUCCGCCUGGGGAGUACGGUCGCAAGAUUAAAACUCAAAGGAAUAGACGGGGACCCGCACAAGUGGUGGAGCAUGUAGUUUAAUUCGAAGAUACGCGAAGAACCUUACCUAGCCUUGACAUAUAUUAGAACACUUUAGAGAUAGAGUGGUGCCUUCGGGAGCUUUUAUACAGGUGCUGCACGGCUGUCGUCAGCUCGUGUCGUGAGAUGUUGAGUUAAGUCCCGCAACGAGCGCAACCCUCGUCACUAGUCACUAACGGUUCGGCCGAGGACUCUAGUGAGACUGCCUUCGUAAGGAGGAGGAAGGUGAGGACGACGUCAAGUCAUCAUGGCCCUUACGGCUAGGGCAACACACGUGCUACAAUGGCCAGGACAAUGAGACGCGAUACCGCGAGGUGGAGCAAAUCUAUAAACCUGGUCUCAGUUCGGAUUGUAGUCUGCAACUCGACUACAUGAAGCUGGAAUCACUAGUAAUCGUAGAUCAGCUAUGCUACGGUGAAUACGUUCCCGGGUCUUGUACUCACCGCCCGUCACACCAUGGGAGUUGAUUUCACCCGAAGCGGGGAAGCUAAACUGGCUACCCUCCACGGUGGAAUCAGCGACUGGGGUG